UUUUUUUAUUUUUUUUCUUUUUCUUAUUAUUUUUUAUAUUUGGCUCCAAGAGAAAUUCAAACUACUAUUUGUUCCAACUAAAGUUCCAACCUAGCCAAAGAAUCUUCAAUCAAGAUGGCUCCUUAAACUUGUUGAAUCAGUUUUGUGGCUUGUUUGGUUCACUGUUCAAGUUGAUACUGCAGUUAAUUAGACCAUUAAUUGGUGGGACUUCUCUCACAUGACUACAAAGAUCUACUUACCUUGUGUAGCUUUUGCAAGCUUGACUAAGACUUCAUUCUGCAUUACAGCUCGCUUUUCUAGAUCUUAUGGUGUUUUCUAUAUUGUCCCUCUAAAUGACUGUCAUUUCAAUGUGAGCAAAUUGACCACUAGGCUCCUAUAAAAAGUUAAGGACACUUGAAGAAGUGCAAUAUCAAACAUGAAGUCACUAAGUCACCUGAUGCAACUUCUAGUGAUACAUAUAAAAAUUGGGUUGCUUUACUUUAUACGAAUGAAAAUAAUAGUAGUAGGUCUAAUAAGAGGUGAAGAGUAUAAGUCCUCUUACUUAAUUACUUAAUGUUAUCCUUUUGGAAUAAGUAUUAUCACAUUAAUAAUCAAAUAAAACGCUAUCUUUAUUCAUGCAAAUGAACUUUAU
Molecule: unclassified non-coding RNA, 631 nt
Filed under: Hevea brasiliensis (rubber tree)
Lineage: Eukaryota; Viridiplantae; Streptophyta; Magnoliopsida; Malpighiales; Euphorbiaceae
Source: RNAcentral